AUUGAACGCUGGCGGAAUGCUUUACACAUGCAAGUCGAAUGGUAGAGGGGGCAACCCCUCGAGAGUGGCGAACGGGUGAGUAAUAUAUCGGAACGUGCCCAGUCGUGGGGGAUAACGUAGCGAAAGUUACGCUAAUACCGCAUACGAUCUAAGGAUGAAAGCGGGGGAUCGCAAGACCUCGCGCGAUUGGAGCGGCCGAUAUCAGAUUAGGUAGUUGGUGGGGUAAAGGCUCACCAAGCCAACGAUCUGUAGCUGGUCUGAGAGGACGACCAGCAAAACUGGAACUGAGACACGGUCCAGACUCCUACGGGAGGCAGCAGUGGGGAAUUUUGGACAAUGGACGCAAGUCUGAUCCAGCCAUUCCGCGUGCAGGAUGAAGGCCCUCGGGUUGUAAACUGCUUUUGUACGGAACGAAAAGGUCUCUCUUAAUACGGGGGGCUCAUGACGGUACCGUAAGAAUAAGCACCGGCUAACUACGUGCCAGCCGCCGCGGUAA
RNAcentral lists this ribosomal RNA (496 nucleotides) under uncultured bacterium. RNAcentral describes it as "partial 16S ribosomal RNA". It matches the Rfam family "Bacterial small subunit ribosomal RNA", at positions 30 to 523 of the family's 1533-position model. The record is from RNAcentral.